Long non-coding RNA from Cryptomeria japonica (Japanese cedar), 987 nucleotides. RefSeq lists it as uncharacterized. NCBI's taxonomy places the organism in Eukaryota, Viridiplantae, Streptophyta, Pinopsida, Cupressales, Cupressaceae. The transcript is spliced from 2 exons. The record is from RefSeq and is a predicted model, not a curated record.
UUUGAAGUCCGAUUGUACAAACCCUAAACGCAACCCUAGUUUUUUCCUUUCUCCUCCAUAUUAGUCCACACGAUUUCAGUGGAUCCAGAAAACAGUUAGGGGAUUUCAGUGCGGUUUCCUUAAGUUAAACGAUUCUGUUCUUCCAUCCUAUUUUGAGUUUCAUGCUUCUGAUUUGAUUUGGGUGUUCCACCGGAUUAUUUGGUUGUGUUAAAUCCAGGGAAAUGAAGAAACUUCGCAAGCCUGAAUGCAUUCAAUGCGUGUUUUUGAUGAAAACUUGCACGUCAGUCAGAUCCCAAUGUACUUUCGGCUUUAUGUCAUAGUUUAUUAGUGAUUUGAUUUUUUUUGUAAUCUUUUGAAGCUUAUCGACGGUCGAGUGCUGAUGAAAUAUGCAUGAUCAGUUCUCAACAAAAUCGUAAGCAAUAUUAAUUCACAGACGGUUCUGCUUUUCUUUCUUUCCACUCGAUUUUGGAAUGAGAUGUUGCAGGGCCGUGUACAUUCACGAAGAAAAUGUUGAAAGUUUUAUCUUAGGUUUAAGUAUUGAUCCAAAAAAAACUAAUUUGUUUUAUUUUCGCUUGGAAUUUUAUUGUCCUGAAAUUCUAUUCUUCUCUGGAUGAUUUGUCACGCUUUGCACGGAGAGGGUUUUCCGAUUUGCUAAAUGUCAGAAUCUGCUCGGUAAAAGGUUUAUAUUUGUAUACUUCUGCCUCACCAGGUCUACAGGAUCAGGAUGAGGAUCUGGAAAUUUUUGAUAAUAGUAUAGGUUGUUUGGGAGUAGACUUUGGCGACAUUACACUACACUUCAUAUGGCUGGAUCAUUUUUAUGAUUUUCUAGUUAUGGAGGAGUUUCCUAGGACAUUAGGGUUUGAGACAUUUCAUUCGGCAGUGCACUUUGGGAGAGUUUGUUUGCCAAAUAAAUAGGGAAUAAAAGAUUAGUAGUCGAAUUUUGCCCUUCUCAAAAGUUAAUAAUUGAAGUAUUGUUUGAGGAUCUGA